CCUACGGGUGGCAGCAGUGAGGAAUAUUGGUCAAUGGACGAGAGUCUGAACCAGCCAAGUAGCGUGAAGGAUGACUGCCCUAUGGGUUGUAAACUCUUUUUAUAUGGGAAUAAAACAGUGUAUGCAUAUCUUCUCGUUUCGACCAUAUGAAUCAAGAUCGGCGAACUUCGGUCCAGCAGCCGCGGUAAUACGGAGGAUCCGAGCGUUACCCGGAUUUAUUGGGUUUAAAGGGAGCGUAGGUGGAUUGUUAAGUCAGAUGUGAAAGUGUGGGGCUCAACCGUAAAAUUGCAGUUGAAACGGGCAGACGUGAGUACAGUAGAGGAGAGCGGAAUUCGAGGUGUAGCGGUGAAAUGCGUAGAUAUAACGAAGAACUCCAGUUGCGAAGGCAGCUCACUGGUCUGCAACUGACGCUGAUGCUCGAAAGUGUGGGUAUCAAACAGGAUUAGAUACCCGUGUAGUC
This 460-nucleotide ribosomal RNA is filed under the name uncultured bacterium. Its description in RNAcentral is "partial 16S ribosomal RNA". It matches the Rfam family "Bacterial small subunit ribosomal RNA", at positions 338 to 795 of the family's 1533-position model. The record is from RNAcentral.